RNAcentral lists this small nucleolar RNA (135 nucleotides) under Cyphomyrmex costatus. RNAcentral's name for it is "Small nucleolar RNA snoR639/H1". It matches the Rfam family "Small nucleolar RNA snoR639/H1". Rfam says of the family: snoR639 or snoH1 belongs to the H/ACA class of snoRNAs which are thought to guide the sites of modification of uridines to pseudouridines. snoH1 is found in an intron of the mfl gene in Drosophila. The record is from Rfam by way of RNAcentral. Lineage: Eukaryota; Metazoa; Arthropoda; Insecta; Hymenoptera; Formicidae.
ACCCCACACUAAUUAAGCCGACCUUCUUGAUGCAUCUUUAUCGGAAGCGUGUGCUCGUUGUGGGAACAGCAAAGUCUGCGCAUUGUGUAUGGUUUAAUUUUCUUUUAAAUUCAACCAAAGAAUUAGCGCAGGACA